AGAGCUGAAAGUCCCACAGCUUUCAAUGGUUAAUAGCCAGAACUAGAAGUAAGGUCUUUUGUUUAAGAACACUAAGACUUCCUGAGCCUCGGUAAAUAAUCGUGAAGGGUCUGGCGAGGACCUGGUUAUGUCCUAGGGAAUGCACAGAUUCCGAGCAGCCUGGGUAAACUGAGGCAGAUCAGGGAAGUGGAUGCUCUCAACACCUCCAGCUGUUCCUUUCCACUGAAGGGCGUCUCAGCCCUUUCACCUUUGAUGUUCCUGGUAUCUCAUUCUAGGGGUGAAAAGCCACAGGCAUCGCACAGCACGCACAGCACGCCAGUAACGGAUGCUUCACUGUUUACACCUGGGUUAGUUACCGCUCCUAGCCCAGCUCUACCAAGUCCCAUUCUGAAACCAUGGGAGCCACAUCUCCCAUAGGUGCUCCAGCACGCCUGCCUCCCAGACCCCACCAAGGAAGGUCCAUUAAACUCUGUCUGCAAUGCUCAGUGGCUUCCCCAGCCCAGAACAGAGUUCCAAAUCUUCCCACAUUAUCAAAAACAAACAAACAAAAACAACAAACAAAACAAAAUAAUAAAGAAAAAAGAAAAACUAGUUCCAAGGGCCGGAGAAGCACGUGGUCAGGUGUGUUGACCACAGCAAUGGCCCAACCAACAUCUGUAUUGUUACUAAUUGUCUCGUUUGCUACGACAGAACACCUGACUUAACGCUAUUACGGUAUUAUCAAGGAGUACUCGAAGGAAAAGGGCUUCAUUUUUGCCUCUCUGUUCCUGUCCUCCGUAAAGACAGAGACUUGAGGUCACAUGAUGUCUGCUAGUUCUCUUUCUCUUUUUCAUGUAAAGACACCAGCGUGUUGAAUGGAGUCACCUACAGUUAAGGAGGGUCUUCCCACCCCAGUUACCCUGAUCUAAAU
RNAcentral lists this long non-coding RNA (910 nucleotides) under Rattus norvegicus (Norway rat). RNAcentral describes it as "long non-coding RNA NONRATT013574". The record is from RNAcentral. Lineage: Eukaryota; Metazoa; Chordata; Mammalia; Rodentia; Muridae.